CCUACGGGAGGCAGCAGUGGGGAAUAUUGGACAAUGGGCGGAAGCCUGAUCCAGCCAUGCCGCGUGUGUGAAGAAGGCCUUCGGGUUGUAAAGCACUUUCAGUGGGGAAGAAAGCCUUGGGGCUAAUACCCUCGAGGAAGGACAUCACCCACAGAAGAAGCACCGGCUAACUCCGUGCCAGCAGCCGCGGUAAUACGGAGGGUGCGAGCGUUAAUCGGAAUUACUGGGCGUAAAGCGCGCGUAGGCGGUCUGAUAAGCCGGUUGUGAAAGCCCCGGGCUCAACCUGGGAACGGCAUCCGGAACUGUCAGGCUAGAGUGCAGGAGAGGAAGGUAGAAUUCCCGGUGUAGCGGUGAAAUGCGUAGAGAUCGGGAGGAAUACCAGUGGCGAAGGCGGCCUUCUGGACUGACACUGACGCUGAGGUGCGAAAGCGUGGGUAGCAAACAGGAUUAGAUACCCUGGUAGUC
RNAcentral lists this ribosomal RNA (465 nucleotides) under Vreelandella stevensii. Its description in RNAcentral is "partial 16S ribosomal RNA". It matches the Rfam family "Bacterial small subunit ribosomal RNA", at positions 338 to 795 of the family's 1533-position model. The record is from RNAcentral. Lineage: Bacteria; Pseudomonadati; Pseudomonadota; Gammaproteobacteria; Oceanospirillales; Halomonadaceae.